GACGAACGCUGGCGGCGUGCUUAACACAUACAAGUCGAACGGAAAGGCCUGCUUUCCCUUGUGGAUUGCGGGUACUCGAGUGGCGAACGGGUGAGUAACACGUGAGUGAUCUGCCCCCAACUUGGGUAUAAGCCUGGGAAACUGGGUCUAAUUCCCGAUAGGACUGCAGGGUGGUGCCUGUGGUGGAAAACGAUUUUCUAGUGGUUGGGGAUGAGCUCGCGGCCUAUCAGCUUGUUGGUGGGGUAAUGGCCUACCAAGGCGGCGACGGGUAGCCGGCCUGAGAGGGUGGACGGCCACAUUGGGACUGAGAUACGGCCCAGACUCCUACGGGAGGCAGCAGUGGGGAAUAUUGCACAAUGGGCGGAAGCCUGAUGCAGCGACGCAGCGUGGGGGAUGACGGCCUUCGGGUUGUAAACUCCUUGCGACCGCGAGGAAGCCACCUGGUUGGAAGGGUGGUGACGGUAGUGGUAGAAGAAGCACCGGCUAACUACGUG
This 494-nucleotide ribosomal RNA is filed under the name uncultured bacterium. RNAcentral's name for it is "partial 16S ribosomal RNA". It matches the Rfam family "Bacterial small subunit ribosomal RNA", at positions 28 to 507 of the family's 1533-position model. The record is from RNAcentral.